GAUGAACGCUGGCGGCGUGCCUAAUACAUGCAAGUCGAGCGAACAGACGAGGAGCUUGCUCCUCUGACGUUAGCGGCGGACGGGUGAGUAACACGUGGAUAACCUACCUAUAAGACUGGGAUAACUUCGGGAAACCGGAGCUAAUACCGGAUAAUAUAUUGAACCGCAUGGUUCAAUAGUGAAAGACGGUUUUGCUGUCACUUAUAGAUGGAUCCGCGCCGCAUUAGCUAGUUGGUAAGGUAACGGCUUACCAAGGCAACGAUGCGUAGCCGACCUGAGAGAGUGAUCGGCCACACUGGAACUGAGACACGGUCCAGACUCCUACGGGAGGCAGCAGUAGGGAAUCUUCCGCAAUGGGCGAAAGCCUGACGGAGCAACGCCGCGUGAGUGAUGAAGGUCUUCGGAUCGUAAAGCUCUGUUAUUAGGGAAGAACAAAUGUGUAAGUAACUAUGCACGUCUUGACGGUACCUAAUCAGAAAGCCACGGCUAACUACGUG
RNAcentral lists this ribosomal RNA (497 nucleotides) under uncultured bacterium. RNAcentral describes it as "partial 16S ribosomal RNA". It matches the Rfam family "Bacterial small subunit ribosomal RNA", at positions 28 to 507 of the family's 1533-position model. The record is from RNAcentral.